CGCCGCCGCCGCCGGAUCACUAUCCCUAUGUCGAGCUUUCUGCAAGCCAACUAAAGUUGCAGGCUCGACAAAAAUGGUACACGAUACAGUUUGAUGAUGAUUUUUUUACGAAAAUUUGAGAAUGUGAAUUUUCGCUUUUCUUAUUUAAAUUCCGGAUACAGCAUGCAGUAAUUGCUUGACAUGGGACUUUCAAGCAUGGUUACAUUUCUUACUGAAUUCUGACCCCUAGCUGUUUCUCUUUUCUUUUUUUUGAUGAGUCACUGUCCUUUGACAUAAUCGAAAUGCUAAUACAUAUAAGGAUUUCAGACAUCAGGAAUACAUUACUUUAGAUUUAUUCGGCAAAACCUUUUUUCCGAAAUCUUUGGUUCUGAAUUUCUUUUUGAAGUUCGUACUUCUUUUUGGCCUUUUUAACUUUUUUUAUUUAGGCGUCACUGAUUAUUCUUUGUAGUCGUAAAUCGCGUCUGGCAUACAGCAUUUUUACCCUGGUAUCUUUUUUUAUAUUUACAUAUAUUUUUUUACACAUUUUAUUUAGAGUAUGUUCAGGUAUACAUUAAACUUUUGAAAUAGUUAUCAAAAGUACCAGGAUUAUAAUUUAGUACGC
RNAcentral lists this long non-coding RNA (601 nucleotides) under Mytilus galloprovincialis (Mediterranean mussel). The record is from RNAcentral. Lineage: Eukaryota; Metazoa; Mollusca; Bivalvia; Mytilida; Mytilidae.